RNAcentral lists this transfer RNA (72 nucleotides) under Sarcophilus harrisii (Tasmanian devil). It matches the Rfam family "tRNA". From Rfam's summary of the family: Transfer RNA (tRNA) molecules are approximately 80 nucleotides in length. Their secondary structure includes four short double-helical elements and three loops (D, anti-codon, and T loops). The record is from Rfam by way of RNAcentral. Lineage: Eukaryota; Metazoa; Chordata; Mammalia; Dasyuromorphia; Dasyuridae.
UCCUUGGUAGUCCAGUGGUCAUGAUUUGGCACUUUUGCUGCCUUGGCUGAGGUUCAAUUCCUAGCCAAGAAA